This 119-nucleotide ribosomal RNA is filed under the name Octopus vulgaris (common octopus). The record is from RNAcentral. Lineage: Eukaryota; Metazoa; Mollusca; Cephalopoda; Octopoda; Octopodidae. RNAcentral also lists the same sequence under 1 other name.
GCAUACAGCCAUAUCACGUUGAAAGCACCGGUUCUCGUCCGAUCACCGAAGUUAAGCAACAUCGAGCCUAGUUAGUACUUAGAUGAGUGACCGCUUGGGAAACCUAGGUGCUGUAAGCA